AGUGAACGCUGGCGGUAGGCCUAACACAUGCAAGUCGAACGGCAGCACAGUAAGAGCUUGCUCUUACGGGUGGCGAGUGGCGGACGGGUGAGGCAUACAUCGGAAUCUACUUUUUCGGGGGGGAUAACGUAGGGAAACUUACGCUAAUACCGCAUACGACCUACGGGUGAAAGCAGGGGAUAUUCGGACCUUGCGCGAUUGAAUGAGCCGAUGUCGGAUUAGCUAGUUGGCGGGGUAAAGGCCCACCAAGGCGACGAUCCGUAGCUGGUCUGAGAGGAUGAUCAGCCACACUGGAACUGAGACACGGUCCAGACUCCUACGGGAGGCAGCAGUGGGGAAUAUUGGACAAUGGGCGCAAGCCUGAUCCAGCCAUGCCGCGUGGGUGAAGAAGGCCUUCGGGUUGUAAAGCCCUGUUGUUGGGAAAGAAAAGCAGCAGGUUAAUACCCGGCUGUUCUGACGGUACCCAAAGAAUAAGCACCGGCUAACUUCGUG
This 492-nucleotide ribosomal RNA is filed under the name uncultured bacterium. RNAcentral's name for it is "partial 16S ribosomal RNA". It matches the Rfam family "Bacterial small subunit ribosomal RNA", at positions 29 to 507 of the family's 1533-position model. The record is from RNAcentral.